GUAGGUGGCAAGCGUUGUCCGGAAUUAUUGGGCGUAAAGCGCGCGCAGGCGGUUCUUUAAGUCUGAUGUGAAAGCCCACGGGCUCGACCGUGCAGGGUCAUUGGAAACUGGAGAACUUGAGUACAGAAGAGGAAAGCGGAAUUCCACGUGUAGCGGUGAAAUGCGUAGAGAUGUGGAGGAACACCAGUGGCGAAGGCGGCUUUCUGGUCUGUAACUGACGCUGAGGCGCGAAAGCGUGGGGAGCAAACAGGAUUAGAUACCCUGGUAGUCCACGCCGUAAACGAUGAGUGCUAAGUGUUAGGGGGUUUCCGCCCCUUAGUGCUGCAGCUAACGCAUUAAGCACUCCGCCUGGGGAGUACGGCCGCAAGGCUG
RNAcentral lists this ribosomal RNA (372 nucleotides) under uncultured organism. Its description in RNAcentral is "partial 16S ribosomal RNA". It matches the Rfam family "Bacterial small subunit ribosomal RNA", at positions 527 to 896 of the family's 1533-position model. The record is from RNAcentral.